CAGUAGCCACGGUAAUACGAAGGGGGCUAGCGUUGUUCGGAUUUACUGGGCGUAAAGGGCGCGUAGGCGGACUGAUAAGUCAGGGGUGAAAUCCCAAGGCUCAACCUUGGAACUGCCUUUGAUACUGUUUGUCUUGAGUUCGAGAGAGGUAAGUGGAACUGCGAGUGUAGAGGUGAAAUUCGUAGAUAUUCGCAAGAACACCAGUGGCGAAGGCGGCUUACUGGCUCGAAACUGACGCUGAGGCGCGAAAGCGUGGGGAGCAAACAGGAUUAGAUACCCGGGUAGUCCCUGUCUCUUAUAA
This 301-nucleotide ribosomal RNA is filed under the name uncultured bacterium. RNAcentral describes it as "partial 16S ribosomal RNA". It matches the Rfam family "Bacterial small subunit ribosomal RNA", at positions 509 to 809 of the family's 1533-position model. The record is from RNAcentral.